This is a long non-coding RNA of Lytechinus variegatus (green sea urchin), 522 nucleotides long. RefSeq lists it as uncharacterized. The record is from RefSeq and is a predicted model, not a curated record. NCBI's taxonomy places the organism in Eukaryota, Metazoa, Echinodermata, Echinoidea, Temnopleuroida, Toxopneustidae. The transcript is spliced from 5 exons.
CCACACGAUUAUCCAUUCCUCUCUUCAUGGUACUCAUCUUCAUUGUUUACCAAGCUUCUUCAUCUCAUGCUGAAGUGCGCGAGGACGGGAACGUGAAACUUGAAGAGUCUGGUUUCGUACACAUUGCUAAAGAAGUGGCUGAGGACGGAGCAUCUGUUGAGGAAAGCGAUUGUCCUCCCGGCCUCUGGUGUCGUUCGGCGUAAAAAUGGCAGAGGAAAUGCUGGAGGACCGAAUGAGAACUGGAAAUGGGAUUAGGAUUAACAUAAAUGUCUACAAACGUAAUCGAUAAUCCUGAAUACAUUCAUAUUCCAUCAUCAAAAUCUGUAUAGUACUGCAUUAAGCAAUGUCAUUAUUUUGAAUCAAUGUUGUUUAUCACAAAAAUGUUCAUCAUGUUCACUAUGACCAAGAAAUACAAUUACAACACCACCUUAGCUUACUUACUAACUCAAAGGUCAAGUACACCCCAGAAAAAUGUUUAUUUUAAUCAAUAGAGAAAAAAUCAAACAAGCCCAAAGCUGAAAA